CACAGGAUCGAAUGUCACAUCUUUACUAUAUAAUAUGAGUUCUAUACAAAAUAAACAAUUACAUUAUAAGGAGACAACGGUCCAGCAACCCAAAGAUGACUGGGAGACGACGACCUAGACCUCUCACGAACACUUCGCAGCAUCCUCCACGCGCCUCAUCAUGUGGUACCUGUUCUUGACCUGUGGGGGGUGUGAGACAGCAAGAGUGAGCUCACAUACGUUCAUCGCUCAACAAGUUGUGGGGAAUAAUGUGCAUGAACUCGCCAAAGAUGGGAGCUCACGUGAAGUGUAAGGCUUACCAAAGAGGAUGGUUAGAGCUGAGCAUUGCUUUUAAAGUUGGUCAAAAUUUUAUUAGCAAUUACUAAGUAUAAGUAGAUACCAGCCCAAUUAAGUAGUAGAACAAAAGUAACAACCUCACCUGCGAUGCAAUGCAUAUGACAAAUUGAGUUUAGGUUCCAUAAUUUAAUCAUGUGAGUGUUCGAGCUGCUCAUGACCGUGAGCAUGGCUAGUAUACCAGUUUUACACUGUGCAGAGGUUGCACAUCUUUACCCACAAGUCAUGUUACCCAUCUGCCAAGAGACGACCAAUCCCAUAUACCUCUACCGAGGAGGCGAGGCAGGGUAACACUACGAGGCCUUUACAAAGUUCCACUAGCUUCAGAAAACCCGCUACAGUUUAUAGGAAGCUCCAAUGCAGGAAUCCCUCGCAUGACCGCCAUCGCAGCAAAAUCAUCCCAAGGGCCUCCCUACACUGACCACUCACCUACUGCCCUUGCCCCUUUCGGGUAAGGUAGUCAUCCACUAGCUUUCCUAAUUAAUCAGCCAAGGGCGUCCCAUUAAACCCUUGUGGUAGCACUGUUUUCCCGGGUGGUUCUCCAUGUUCCAAUUAACAUAAUGAUCUUGUCAUGAACAGUAAUUAACAAACUGAUAAUAAAAGUAUAAUCAUGAAUAAAAUGUAUCUCUAUACCCAAAACCACAUAAAGCAAUAGUAGGUACUACCCAAAAAUUCAGUGGUGAAUAAGGUAUAAAGAUAGUCAAACUAGGGUAACCUAUUGGGUCCCAUCAAAAUUAACCUAUGCAGAUCAUUAUGAUUAAUCAGAACAUGAUUGGGUAAAAAGAAGUGAUCAAGGGCACAACUUGCCUGGGACUUGAGAUUCCAGGUACCAGAAUGAUCUUCAGGUGACACGUGUUCUCACUGCUAAACGUAGCAAUACAGACAAACAUGUAUAGGCAAAAUUAACAUCACACCAAACAUAAGAACAAACUGAAUAAUAAUGAUCUACGCGAAGCUACGAGAUCGUGGGAUCAAGAACCACUAAAUUCGGAGCUACGGUUAUUAAGUUAUGAAUUUCCGAAAUUGUUUAGUGCUUAGAAUAGAUUAAUCCAAAUGAACAAUUUUAAUUCAAGUUUCAUGGCUAAACAGUGUUACUGGUUGAUAGAAAAUAUUAAUACAAAAUUAUAGGAACUGGAAUGGACUAAAAAGGAGCUAAAAUGAAUUUUCCAGGAAUUAAACAAGUUUUAGAUUUAAUUUUAUACUAGAAAAGUAUUUUCUAUAUUCAUUUAUUCAAUUCCUUCAAGUUCUGGCCUGAUCGCACUAUUUCUGAGAAGUGCAGGGUCAAUUCUGUAAAAAUUAGGACCUUUCUGUAAUUACUUUAUAACUAGGUUGGAUGGCGGGUUCAUUUCGCAGAUUUCCAGGGACUCUUUUAUAAGCUUGCCUCGACCGAACGGGUACGUUCUAUUCUAAGCCAUUCGAUCAAAAUCUGGAGGUCCAGAUCAGAUCGCGCGAAGGGGUAUGCGCGCCCUAAUCCUCACCGUCCAAAGCAAUCGGACGGUUCCGAGUUCGUCUUCCCACACACCGAUCAGAGCAACAGCGCAGGGGCCCCAAUGCGGCGAUGCGUUCGUCGGAGAGCAGCCCAUGUCGCAACAUGUCCAAAUCCGAGGUCCCUAACACACCAAGGAGGGUAUAAGGAUGACAGGUAAAGGGGAUUCUCACCGGUUCAUGAAAGGGGGGGUCGACCAGUCCGGUCAUCACGUGGGGCGGACAGCAGCGUUUCGGCGAGGAAUUCAUCCUCCCCGAUCGACCCGCAUCAACCAACCGAGCUCCGCAUGAUCCCCACAGCACUGUGAAGCUUCUAUUCCCGCGCCCGACGGUUGGUGUGAUCGACGAUGUGCGGCUGCUCCUUGCUCUCAGCAUCUCUGAUGACAUGCGGCUAUUGGCUAGGGUGGCUACG
RNAcentral lists this long non-coding RNA (2230 nucleotides) under Zea mays. RNAcentral describes it as "long non-coding RNA (ZMAY_LNC001135)". The record is from RNAcentral. Lineage: Eukaryota; Viridiplantae; Streptophyta; Magnoliopsida; Poales; Poaceae.